AUACGGAGGAUGCGAGCGUUAUCCGGAUUUAUUGGGUUUAAAGGGAGCGUAGGCGGGAGCUUAAGUCAGCGGUUAAAUGGUGCGGCUCAACCGUGCCCUGCCGUUGAAAUUGGGUUUCUUGAGAGUGCAAGAGGCGGAUGGAAUUCAUGGUGUAGCGGUGAAAUGCUUAGAUAUCAUGAAGAACUCCGAUUGCGAAGGCAGUCCGCUGGGGCACGUCUGACGCUGAUGCUCGAAGGUGCGGGAAUCAAACAGGAUUAGAUACCCUGGUAGUCCGCACGGUAAACGAUGAUUACCCGCUGUCGGCGGCAGACAGUCGGCGGCCAAGCGAAAGCGAUAAGUAAUCCACCUGGGGAGUACGCCGGCAACGGUGAAACUCAAAGGAAUUGGCGGGG
Molecule: ribosomal RNA, 392 nt
Filed under: uncultured bacterium
Lineage: Bacteria
Description: partial 16S ribosomal RNA
Rfam family: Bacterial small subunit ribosomal RNA
Source: RNAcentral